CUCAAAAUCUGGACCACACCUUUGUGGAGCUCACAGAAAAAGACAAGGAAGAUGGAGGCUUCUGCCUUCUGCCUGCUCACCCUCACUCUCACUGGCCAAUUCCUCCCUCCUGUUCCUUGAGAGGACCCUGAAGAAUACCGGGACGUUUUAGGCUAAUCACAGAUCUCUGGCACAGCCUCUUCCCUCACUGCCACCCGGACUCCAUUUGGCCGCCUGGUCCUCACUCUUCACUAAAUUGUAACUCUGGCACCUCAGGUCUCCUGGUUCCAGUGCUUUAAAUCUUCACAAGCUCCAGUCAUCUGCUAUUCCUACUUCCCUUCGGCUCCUUUUGAGAAAUGACUAUUUUUAAAGCAACAUAUCAUGGGCUGCAUGGAAAAAAAAAAAAAAAGACAAAAUGUGAAUGUAUUAG
This is a non-coding RNA of Peromyscus maniculatus bairdii (prairie deer mouse), 409 nucleotides long. Lineage: Eukaryota; Metazoa; Chordata; Mammalia; Rodentia; Cricetidae. The record is from RefSeq and is a predicted model, not a curated record.